GGACGAACGCUGGCGGCGUGCCUAAUACAUGCAAGUAGAACGCUGAAGAGAGGAGCUUGCUCUUCUUGGAUGAGUUGCGAACGGGUGAGUAACGCGUAGGUAACCUGCCUUGUAGCGGGGGAUAACUAUUGGAAACGAUAGCUAAUACCGCAUAACAAUGGAUGACUCAUGUCAUUUAUUUGAAAGGGGCAAAUGCUCCACUACAAGAUGGACCUGCGUUGUAUUAGCUAGUAGGUGAGGUAACGGCUCACCUAGGCGACGAUACAUAGCCGACCUGAGAGGGUGAUCGGCCACACUGGGACUGAGACACGGCCCAGACUCCUACGGGAGGCAGCAGUAGGGAAUCUUCGGCAAUGGGGGCAACCCUGACCGAGCAACGCCGCGUGAGUGAAGAAGGUUUUCGGAUCGUAAAGCUCUGUUGUAAGUCAAGAACGAGUGUGAGAGUGGAAAGUUCACACUGUGACGGUAGCUUACCAGAAAGGGACGGCUAACUACGUGCCAGCAGCCGCGGUAAUACGUAGGUCCCGAGCGUUGUCCGGAUUUAUUGGGCGUAAAGCGAGCGCAGGCGGUUUGAUAAGUCUGAAGUUAAAGGCUGUGGCUCAACCAUAGUUCGCUUUGGAAACUGUCAAACUUGAGUGCAGAAGGGGAGAGUGGAAUUCCAUGUGUAGCGGUGAAAUGCGUAGAUAUAUGGAGGAACACCGGUGGCGAAAGCGGCUCUCUGGUCUGUAACUGACGCUGAGGCUCGAAAGCGUGGGGAGCGAACAGGAUUAGAUACCCUGGUAGUCCACGCCGUAAACGAUGAGUGCUAGGUGUUGGAUCCUUUCCGGGAUUCAGUGCCGCAGCUAACGCAUUAAGCACUCCGCCUGGGGAGUACGACCG
RNAcentral lists this ribosomal RNA (879 nucleotides) under uncultured bacterium. RNAcentral's name for it is "bacterial SSU rRNA". It matches the Rfam family "Bacterial small subunit ribosomal RNA", at positions 27 to 888 of the family's 1533-position model. The record is from RNAcentral.